CCAGUAGUCAUAUGCUUGUCUCAAAGAUUAAGCCAUGCAUGUCUCAGUACAAGCCAAAUUAAGGUGAAACCGCGAAAGGCUCAUUAAAUCAGUUAUGGUUCCUUAGAUCGUACCCACAUUUACUUGGAUAACUGUGGUAAUUCUAGAGCUAAUACAUGCAAACAGAGCUCCGACCGGAGACGGAAGGAGCGCUUUUAUUAGAUCAAAACCAAUCGGUGGCGGGUCUCCCGUCACCGUACACCUUGGUGACUCUGAAUAACUUGUUGCUGAUCGCACGGUCUCGCACCGGCGACGCAUCUUUCAAAUGUCUGCCUUAUCAACUGUCGAUGGUAGGUUCUGCGCCUACCAUGGUUGUAACGGGUAACGGGGAAUCAGGGUUCGAUUCCGGAGAGGGAGCCUGAGAAACGGCUACCACAUCCAAGGAAGGCAGCAGGCGCGCAAAUUACCCACUCCCGGCACGGGGAGGUAGUGACGAAAAAUAACGAUACGGGACUCAUCCGAGGCCCCGUAAUCGGAAUGAGUACACUCUAAACCCUUUAACGAGGAUCAAUUGGAGGGCAAGUCUGGUGCCAGCAGCCGCGGUAAUUCCAGCUCCAAUAGCGUAUAUUAAAGUUGUUGCGGUUAAAAAGCUCGUAGUCGAAUUUGUGUCCCGCGCCGCCGGUUCAUCGCUCGCGGUGUCAACUGGCGUGUCCGCGGGACGUCCUGCCGGUGGGCUUAGCCUUUCGUGGGCGGCCCAAUCUCAAUCCCACCGCGGUGCUCUUCACUGAGUGUCGAGGUGGGCCGGCACGUUUACUUUGAACAAAUUAGAGUGCUUAAAGCAGGCUAAAACAUCGCCUGAAUACUGUGUGCAUGGAAAAAUGGAAUAGGACCUCGGUUCUAUUUUGUUGGUUUUCGGAACCCCGAGGUAAUGAUUAAUAGGAACGGAUGGGGGCAUUCGUAUUGCGACGUUAGAG
Molecule: ribosomal RNA, 953 nt
Filed under: Lepanus sp. NQ5
Lineage: Eukaryota; Metazoa; Arthropoda; Insecta; Coleoptera; Scarabaeidae
Description: SSU rRNA
Rfam family: Eukaryotic small subunit ribosomal RNA
Source: RNAcentral